AUGAAGCUGGAGGGCAGAGAUUGACAGCUCUAAGCCGAGAAACGCCAAGGAUACGGGCAGGCAUUGAAAACUACGAGCGAGGCAGGGAACAGAUUCUCUCUCAGAGCCUCCUGCAAGAACCAACCUUGCCAGAACCUUGGUUUUGGACUUGUGGCUUCCAGGACUCAUGAUUGAGAUAUAAUUGACAUAACAUAUACAGCACACAAUUUGAUGAGUUCUGCCUGUAUAUGUACAACUAUGAAACCAUUACUACAAACAAGAUAACGAAGACAUCCAUCUCACCCCAAAGUGUCCUCAUGCUCCUCUGUAAUCCAACUUUUGCUCCCCAGUCCUCUCUCCAAGCACGAGAGAUCUCAGCAAUUUUACUUCCUAUACACAUGUUUUUGAGAUGAUAGGAGAUGUGCCUUGCAACAUGAGGGGGAGCACAUCUAUAACGUAAACACGUCCAUCUGUUUUCCUAAAACUACAAUAUUGGAGCUGUAUGCUCCAAAUGACAAAGGGAUCGAGGAGGCACCUUUGACCAUUACACGCAAUGACCCAACUGGAAAAUUCUCAUUGCCUAUCUUCAAAGCUCAGUGAUUUGCCUCAUGCCCACGGGGAGGAAUGCUUCUACCAGCAGACACAACAAUGGCUCUAAUGGAUUGGAAGGUGAGGUUUCCACAUGCCACUGAGCAAACAGACCAAAAAAAAAAAAAGACCGUUUAUAACAUUUAUGGGAUGAUUGUGCCCGCCUCCUGAAGAGAAAUGGAAUUGCUGUGGAAAACAAGGACAUGAGCCCCCCGGCUUUCUCUGAAGGAAAAACUUGCCACCGUGCUAGGAGCAGUAUAGUUAGCAGACAGCUUCCAACUAUCAAGUCCUCCCAACUAUCAGCAGAGAGCCAGCUCGCCUGUGGCCACAUCGUUCCUGGAAUAGCCGGUGACAGAGCUGUGUGGCAAUGCUCUUUCCAGAGCUCCCCACCAGGCUGGCAUUAGGUUUGUGCUGCAGUGUGAUUCUUGGGCUCAAUUCUGCUUCUGCUCCCUUAACAUCACGGGUGUUGAUACCCUAACGAACACCUUGCACCCCAGGCUCUACCUAAGUAUCUGCUUCCAGAUAAUCCAAUCGGCACACCUGGCUCACGGUGAAGGGGAGAAGGGCUACCUGUGGGGCUCAGCGGGCUUCCUCCUGUGCUGCCACUGCCACUGCCCAUGGUACCAGUCCGUGCGAUGCUACAGUAACUCGACAGAAACUGGACGGUUAAAAGGCUUGGAUCCUGCAGAAAUUAAGGUCUGGUUC
Long non-coding RNA from Herpailurus yagouaroundi (jaguarundi), 1272 nucleotides. RefSeq lists it as uncharacterized. The record is from RefSeq and is a predicted model, not a curated record. The transcript has 3 exons. Lineage: Eukaryota; Metazoa; Chordata; Mammalia; Carnivora; Felidae.